RNAcentral lists this ribosomal RNA (278 nucleotides) under uncultured Intrasporangiaceae bacterium. RNAcentral describes it as "partial 16S ribosomal RNA". The record is from RNAcentral. Lineage: Bacteria; Bacillati; Actinomycetota; Actinomycetes; Micrococcales; Intrasporangiaceae.
GCCGGCUACCCGUCGUCGCCUUGGUGAGCCAUUACCUCACCAACAAGCUGAUAGGCCGCGAGCCCAUCCCAAACCGAAAAACUUUCCAAACCAUACCCAUGCAGGUUGGUCUCGUAUCCAGUAUUAGACGCCGUUUCCAGCGCUUAUUCCAGAGUUUGGGGCAGGUUGCUCACGUGUUACUCACCCGUUCGCCACUGAUCCACUCCAGCAAGCUGGAGCUUCACCGUUCGACUUGCAUGUGUUAAGCACGCCGCCAGCGUUCGUCCUGAGCCAUGAUC